CCUACGGGUGGCAGCAGUGGGGAAUAUUGCGCAAUGGGCGAAAGCCUGACGCAGCGACGCCGCGUGAGGGAUGAAGGUCUUCGGAUCGUAAACCUCUGUCAGCAGGGAAGAUCGGCCCCUUUGCUACUCAGCCGUGAAUUGACGGUACCUGCAAAGGAACCACCGUCUAACUCCGUGCCAGCAGCCGCGGGAAUAUGGAGGGUGCGAGCGUUAACGGGAAUUACUGGGCGGAAAGCGCGCGUAGGCGGGAUGUCAAGUCAAGGGUGAAAUCCCCGCGCUCAACGUGGGAACUGCCUUUGAAACUGGCAAACUGGAGUGUGUGAGAGGAUAGUGGAAUUCCAGGUGUAGGAGUGAAAUCCGUAGAGAUCUAGAGGAACAUCAGUGGCGAAGGCGACUAGCUGGAACAUAACUGACGCUGAGGAGCGAAAGCGUGGGUAGCAAACAGGAUUAGAUACCCGAGUAGUC
Molecule: ribosomal RNA, 465 nt
Filed under: uncultured bacterium
Lineage: Bacteria
Description: partial 16S ribosomal RNA
Rfam family: Bacterial small subunit ribosomal RNA
Source: RNAcentral